AACGACCGGUCGGACCCGUAUGCCUAGCGGCCCGCGAGCCCGGCCCACAAGUGGAGGCUUUCGAACUCCCACCUGACCGCCCUCAGGGCGUCGGGUCACCGGUCAGACGGUCCCGUCCCAGCGGCGGCGAUCCGUCCGAAAGCGCGCCCCGCGGCACCCCGCGGCGGUGCUCCGGUAGUUCGAGGAGCCCCGCCUGGGAUCGUCCGGGGCAUUUUUU
Small RNA from Streptomyces viridochromogenes DSM 40736, 217 nucleotides. It matches the Rfam family "Streptomyces RNA 1601". From Rfam's summary of the family: Identified by deep sequencing of transcriptome at the end of exponential growth phase. Appears longer on northern blot than sequencing transcript. Streptomyces specific. The record is from Rfam. Lineage: Bacteria; Bacillati; Actinomycetota; Actinomycetes; Kitasatosporales; Streptomycetaceae.